UGGGGAAUUUUGCGCAAUGGGCGAAAGCCUGACGCAGCGACGCCGCGUGGAGGAUGAAGGUCUUCGGAUUGUAAACUCCUUUUGUAGGGAAAGAUAAUGACGGUACCCUGCGAAUAAGCCACGGCAAACUCCGUGCCAGCAGCCGCGGUAAUACGGAGGGUGCGAGCGUUAAUCGGAAUUACUGGGCGUAAAGCGCGCGUAGGCGGCCUGAUAAGUUGGAUGUGAAAGCCCCGGGCUUAACCUGGGAACUGCAUUCAAAACUGUCAGGCUAGAGUAUGGUAGAGGAUAGUGGAAUUUCAGGUGUAGCGGUGAAAUGCGUAGAGAUCUGAAGGAACAUCAGUGGCGAAGGCGGCUAUCUGGACCAAUACUGACGCUGAGGUGCGAAAGCGUGGGGAUCAAACAGGAUUAGAUACCCUGGUAGUCCACGCCGUAAACGAUGUCAACUAGCCGUAGGGGGGCUUGUCCCUUUUGUGGCGCAAGCUAACGCAAGUAAGUUGACCGCCUGGGGAAGUACGGCCGCAAAGGUUAAAAACUUCAAAGGAAAUGACGGGAAGGGCGAAUCGCGCCGCUCCUAC
RNAcentral lists this ribosomal RNA (575 nucleotides) under uncultured bacterium. RNAcentral's name for it is "bacterial SSU rRNA". It matches the Rfam family "Bacterial small subunit ribosomal RNA", at positions 355 to 944 of the family's 1533-position model. The record is from RNAcentral.